CUAGUGUUGCAAAACUAGCGGACGAGCUGUGGAUAGGGGUGAAAGGCUAAACAAACUUGGAAAUAGCUGGUUCUCUCCGAAAACUAUUUAGGUAGUGCCUCAAGUAUUACCGACGGGGGUAGAGCACUGUUUUGGCUAGGGGGUCAUGGCGACUUACCAAACCAAGGCAAACUCCGAAUACCGUUGAGUACAGCUUGGGAGACAGAGCACCGGGUGCUAACGUCCGGACUCAAGAGGGAAACAACCCAGACCGCCAGCUAAGGUCCCUAAAAUUGGCUAAGUGGGAAACGAAGUGGGAAGGCUAAAACAGUCAGGAUGUUGGCUUAGAAGCAGCCAUCAUUUAAAGAAAGCGUAAUAGCUCACUGAUCGAGUCGUCCUGCGCGGAAGAUGUAACGGGGCUCAAGCCAGUUACCGAAGCUGCGGAUGCACAGCAAUGUGCGUGGUAGGAGAGCGUUCUGUAAGCCUGUGAAGGUGUCUGGUAACGGAUGCUGGAGGUAUCAGAAGUGCGAAUGCUGACAUGAGUAGCGUUAAAGGGGGUGAAAAGCCCCCUCGCCGUAAGCGCAAGGUUUCCUACGCAACGUUCAUCGGCGUAGGGUGAGUCGGCCCCUAAGGCGAGGCAGAGAUGCGUAGCUGAUGGGAAACAGGUCAAUAUUCCUGUACCGAUUACAAGUGCGAUGUGGGGACGGAGAAGGUUAGCUCAGCCAACUGUUGGAAUAGUUGGUUCAAGCCUGUAGUCGUGCCUGGUAGGCAAAUCCGCCGGGCUGAGAUGAGGGGUGAUAACGAGUCUGCUUGCAGACGAAGUGAGUGAUACCCUGCUUCCAGGAAAAGCCACUAAGCUUCAGCUUGUAAUUGACCGUACCGCAAACCGACACUGGUGCGCGAGAUGAGUAUUCUAAGGCGCUUGAGAGAACUCGGGAGAAGGAACUCGGCAAAUUGACACCGUAACUUCGGAAGAAGGUGUGCCCUAGUAGUGUGUAGUGAACAACGAAGCAUGAACGGGUUGCAAAAAAUAGGUGGCUGCGACUGUUUAUUAAAAACACAGCACUCUGCAAACACGAAAGUGGACGUAUAGGGUGUGACGCCUGCCCGGUGCUGGAAGAUUAAUUGAUGGGGUGCAAGCUCUUGAUCGAAGUCCCAGUAAACGGCGGCCGUAACUAUAACGGUCCUAAGGUAGCGAAAUUCCUUGUCGGGUAAGUUCCGACCUGCACGAAUGGCGUAACGAUGGCCACACUGUCUCCUCCCGAGACUCAGCGAAGUUGAAAUGUUUGUGAUGAUGCAAUCUCCCCGCGGAAAGACGGAAAGACCCCAUGAACCUUUACUGUAGCUUUGUAUUGGACUUUGAACAGAUCUGUGUAGGAUAGGUGGGAGGCUUUGAAGCCCGGUCGCUAGAUCGGGUGGAGCCAACGUUGAAAUACCACCCUGGUGUGUUUGAGGUUCUAACCUAGGUCCAUUAUCUGGAUCGGGGACAGUGCAUGGUAGGCAGUUUGACUGGGGCGGUCUCCUCCCAAAGCGUAACGGAGGAGUUCGAAGGUACGCUAGGUACGGUCGGACAUCGUGCUAAUAGUGCAAUGGCAUAAGCGUGCUUAACUGCGAGACUGACAAGUCGAGCAGAUGCGAAAGCAGGACAUAGUGAUCCGGUGGUUCUGUAUGGAAGGGCCAUCGCUCAACGGAUAAAAGGUACUCUGGGGAUAACAGGCUGAUACCGC
This 1706-nucleotide ribosomal RNA is filed under the name metagenome. Its description in RNAcentral is "bacterial LSU rRNA". It matches the Rfam family "Bacterial large subunit ribosomal RNA", at positions 783 to 2491 of the family's 2925-position model. The record is from RNAcentral.